This 425-nucleotide ribosomal RNA is filed under the name uncultured Aeromonas sp. Its description in RNAcentral is "bacterial SSU rRNA". It matches the Rfam family "Bacterial small subunit ribosomal RNA", at positions 354 to 771 of the family's 1533-position model. The record is from RNAcentral. Lineage: Bacteria; Pseudomonadati; Pseudomonadota; Gammaproteobacteria; Aeromonadales; Aeromonadaceae.
GUGGGGAAUAUUGCACAAUGGGGGAAACCCUGAUGCAGCCAUGCCGCGUGUGUGAAGAAGGCCUUCGGGUUGUAAAGCACUUUCAGCGAGGAGGAAAGGUCAGUAGCUAAUAUCUGCUGACUGUGACGUUACUCGCAGAAGAAGCACCGGCUAACUCCGUGCCAGCAGCCGCGGUAAUACGGAGGGUGCGAGCGUUAAUCGGAAUUACUGGGCGUAAAGCGCACGCAGGCGGUUGGAUAAGUUAGAUGUGAAAGCCCCGGGCUCAACCUGGGAAUUGCAUUUAAAACUGUCCAGCUAGAGUCUUGUAGAGGGGGGUAGAAUUCCAGGUGUAGCGGUGAAAUGCGUAGAGAUCUGGAGGAAUACCGGUGGCGAAGGCGGCCCCCUGGACAAAGACUGACGCUCAGGUGCGAAAGCGUGGGGAGCAA